RNAcentral lists this ribosomal RNA (774 nucleotides) under uncultured bacterium. Its description in RNAcentral is "bacterial SSU rRNA". It matches the Rfam family "Bacterial small subunit ribosomal RNA", at positions 8 to 796 of the family's 1533-position model. The record is from RNAcentral.
AGAGUUUGAUCCUGGCUCAGGAUGAACGCUAGCGGCAGUAAUACAUGCAAGGGAGGGGGCAGCAAUGUCACCGUCGUACGGGUGCGUAACGCGUAUGCCCUACCUAUCACUGGGGGAUAGCCCGGGGAAACCCGGAUUAAUACCGCAUAACACAGGGGUCCCGCAUGGGUACUAUUUGUUAAAGAUUUAUCGGUGGUAGAUGGGCAUGCGUUCGAUUAGCUAGUUGGUGCGGGUAACGGCCUACCAAGGCGACGAUCGAUAGGGGAGCUGAGAGGUUGAUCCCCCACACGGGCACUGAGAUACGGGCCCGACUCCUACGGGAGGCAGCAGUAGGGAAUAUUGGGCAAUGGAUGCAAGUCUGACCCAGCCAUGCCGCGUGCCGGAUGAAGGCCCUCAGGGUUGUAAACGGCUUUUAUUCGGGAAGAAGAGCGAGGGUGCGCCCUUGUGUGACGGUACCGAAUGAAUAAGCACCGGCUAACUCCGUGCCAGCAGCCGCGGUAAUACGGAGGGUGCGAGCGUUGUCCGGAUUUAUUGGGUUUAAAGGGUGCGUAGGUGGCUUUAUAAGUCAGUGGUGAAAUACAGCCGCUUAACGGUUGAGGUGCCAUUGAUACUGUAGAGCUUGAAACAAUUGGAGGCUGCCGGAAUGGAUGGUGUAGCGGUGAAAUGCAUAGAUAUCAUCCAGAACACCGAUUGCGAAGGCAGGUGGCUACGUUUGAUUUGACACUGAGGCACGAAAGCAUGGGGAGCAAACAGGAUUAGAUACCCUAGUAGUCC